RNAcentral lists this ribosomal RNA (1258 nucleotides) under Triticum aestivum (bread wheat). RNAcentral describes it as "partial small subunit ribosomal RNA". The record is from RNAcentral. Lineage: Eukaryota; Viridiplantae; Streptophyta; Magnoliopsida; Poales; Poaceae.
CUUCCCCGAUAAAUCCCCAUCCACCUCUCCUCGAUGCCCACGCCCCAGCGCCACCACCCCCAAUCCCCAGUGCCCACUCCAGGCAUCCCACAACCACCCCACCCCCGACCGACCGGCCUCCUCUCCUUCCCGGCCGGAGUCCCGUCCCACCACCACGCACUGAUGCCGCCCAUGUACAGGCGCUGCCACACGCCGGAUCCGGUGGGAUCCGUCGAUCCCCGCCUUCAACGCCCACAUCCAGGGCCGCCAUACGGCCGGAUCCGGCGAGCCCCGCCUCCACCACCCCGGGCUGGAUCCCACUUCACCAUCCUGCAACCGGUGCGCCGCGCCAACCCGGCGCCGGCCCAUGCUCGCGCCGCCCCGCUGCCUCCUGUCUCCCACAUCACCUCCCUUCUGCCGUCGAUCGACCCCGUCGCCAGCCUGGUCUCGCGCCACCCCUGUGAGGGUUAGCCGAUCCCCCACGCUCGGGUCUGCCCUCGUCCCCGAUCUGGAUUGAGCCGCCGCUGGGAAGUUCAGCGUCACGGCGGGACAUCGUGCGGUUUGGCGCCCUCCCUCGUCAUCGGUCACGGCACCGCAGCCACCGGCCUCGAGCGUCCGCUCCUCCACCUUGAUCUUAUGCUUGCCGGUGUCGCCCCGGCCGAUCCAGACAGUUGGGUGGGAGUUGGGGUGUCUCGGGCGUCCAGCCGUGGGUUCCCCCCGAUGAGUUGGACGUCUGCUCCCCUCUCUCUCCACCUCCCAUCCCCGCGGGAGCAGUGAGGCGUGUCCCUGUGCAGUGCAGUGACCCCCAAGGUGCAGUGCCGUGUGCGUGUUGGAGAGGUUAACUUCAGCGUUGCUGUAUGUUCACUUGCGGCCGCCCCUUGAUUUUAAUUUUGAUUGUGUGUUGAACAGAAACUAAGGUUGGCCUUGCAGUUCGCUGGCAAGAAUCUGCCUCUCCCCCUCCGUAGAUGCAGUUUGGCCAGAAGGGCUUUGUGAGAACAGAAAAAAUUGUUGGAGCAACUUCCACUUCCUCUGAAGUCCACUUCGCCUGCAGGAGCAACUUGCGCUUCCUGUGCAGCGACCUAUGCAGUGGAGCCACCCCUUGUGGAGAACAAAGAAAAUGCCGGAGCCCAAAACUCAGAGCUCCCAGUGAAGUUCAGCGUUUUUGGGUGUUCAGUGUGCUACCAAUAACCCAUGUAAUCCACUAUGUUCUCUAAUGCAGACUAUUGUACUACGUGAAAAACAAACUCUAAAGAGAAAAAAUAAAAAGGAAAAUGCAGUG